CCUACGGGAGGCAGCAGUGAGGAAUAUUGGACAAUGGGCGCAAGCCUGAUCCAGCCAUGCCGCGUGCAGGAUGACGGUCCUAUGGAUUGUAAACUGCUUUUAUACAGGAAGAAACAUCUCUACGUGUAGAGACUUGACGGUACUGUAAGAAUAAGGAUCGGCUAACUCCGUGCCAGCAGCCGCGGUAAUACGGAGGAUCCAAGCGUUAUCCGGAAUCAUUGGGUUUAAAGGGUCCGUAGGCGGUUUAGUAAGUCAGUGGUGAAAGCCCAUCGCUCAACGGUGGAACGGCCAUUGAUACUGCUAGACUUGAAUUAUUAGGAAGUAACUAGAAUAUGUAGUGUAGCGGUGAAAUGCUUAGAGAUUACAUGGAAUACCAAUUGCGAAGGCAGGUUACUACUAAUUGAUUGACGCUGAUGGACGAAAGCGUGGGUAGCGAACAGGAUUAGAUACCCUGGUAGUCCACGCCGUAAACGAUGGAUACUAGUUGUUGGGCGCAAGUUCAGUGGCUAAGCGAAAGUGAUAAGUAUCCACCUGGGGAAGUACGAACGCAAGUUUGAAACUUCAAAGGAAUUGACGG
Molecule: ribosomal RNA, 577 nt
Filed under: uncultured bacterium
Lineage: Bacteria
Description: bacterial SSU rRNA
Rfam family: Bacterial small subunit ribosomal RNA
Source: RNAcentral